GAAAAAUUUAGUUAAAAUUAUAACAUCAACUUGUCAAGUUGAAAUUAACUUAAACAUUAAUUUUU
Molecule: transfer RNA, 65 nt
Filed under: Amarygmini sp. ACP-2013
Lineage: Eukaryota; Metazoa; Arthropoda; Insecta; Coleoptera; Tenebrionidae
Description: tRNA-Asp
Source: RNAcentral